RNAcentral lists this ribosomal RNA (251 nucleotides) under uncultured prokaryote. RNAcentral describes it as "partial 16S ribosomal RNA". It matches the Rfam family "Bacterial small subunit ribosomal RNA", at positions 524 to 774 of the family's 1533-position model. The record is from RNAcentral.
UACAGAGGGUGCAAGCGUUAAUCGGAAUUACUGGGCGUAAAGCGAGCGUAGGUGGCUUGAUAAGUCAGAUGUGAAAUCCCCGGGCUUAACCUGGGAACUGCAUCUGAUACUGUUGAGCUAGAGUAGGUGAGAGGGAAGUAGAAUUCCAGGUGUAGCGGUGAAAUGCGUAGAGAUCUGGAGGAAUACCGAUGGCGAAGGCAGCUUCCUGGCAUCAUACUGACACUGAGGCUCGAAAGCGUGGGUAGCAAACA